UCCUUUUAUUUUAGUGCUCCAGAAUUUGAUGUGUCAGAGAUAGAGAAUCUUUUCUCUGCAACAGUCCCUAAACCUGCUGAUUCAGGGGGUAAAGCUGGAGGGCGUCGUAAGUCUACUGGAUCCAAAACUGACAAAGUUCACCUGAUUGACCUGAGGAGGGCAAACAACACUGAAAUUAUGCUCACAAAAGUUAAGAUGCCGCUUCCUGGUAUGAUGGCUGCAGUGCUAGCGAUGGAUGAAUCAGUAUUAGAUGUUGAUCAAGUGGAAAAUCUAAUAAAAUUUUGUCCUACAAAAUAAGAGAUGGAACUUCUCAAGGGUUACACAGGUGACAAGGAGAGCCUGGGAAAGUGUGAACAGUAUUUUAUGGAGUUGAUGAAAGUUCCUAGAGUGGAAUCAAAAUUGCGAGUGUUCUCUUUCAAGAUUCAGUUCAACUGUCAGAUUUCAGAAUUUAAAAAGAGUUUGAACACUGUGAACUCUGCAUGUGAAGAGGUCUGGAAUUCCCUCAAAUUAAAAGAUAUUAUGAAGAAAAUUCUUUUUCUGGGUAAUACUUUGAACCAAGGGACUGCAAGAGUAUGAAUGUAGAAUAAAAAAGGUUCGCCAUGAAGAUAGCACAUUAAGAAUGAUCAGAAAUCGGCAAAAAACACUAGAACGCUGUGAAAAGUUGAGGAAAUAUGUGAUGUACACAUGGGGCUUUAGCAUAUUAGAUGACGACCACGACAACAAGAAAAAUGGAUCAUGUUGCAGUGGUGAUAUGCUAAAAUCUAUCAGCGAAAAAGGAUCAUCACAAAAACAUAGGCAACAGAGCAUAACAGAUUCUAAGAUUCCUGCUCCAAAUCAUUCCCACACUUGUAGAACCAAGUCUCUGAUACCACGAACUGCUUUGAGUCUUGAAGAGAAGUCAGAUUCUCGGGGUGAACAUUCACAGAAACAUGAGGAAGAACAACAAUCCGGUGGAUCAUGCAAGGAAAGUUCAUCCCAGCUUGUUUCAUUCUAUUUAUCUCAUGCCAACAUUCCUCUUCCACCUACCUUAGUUAUUCCAUUUUGUUGCUGUUUGCUACAAAGUUGAAGGAUUCUUCAGAAAUGGAUAUGUCUGAUGUUCAAAAGAAUCUCAAAUGUUUGUACGAGUACAAUGUCAUGCUGAGGGAGAAAUUUUUAUCUGUGCAAUCUAUGCUUCAUGAGUUAGCAACAAAGUCCUUGCCUCCUGCAAAUGAUGACAUUCCUAACACCUCAAAGUUUUUCAAGCAAGUAGUUAUACAUAGUAUAUCCCUUUGCCAAUCAGUGACCUUGAUUCUUGGUUGAAGACACCCUCCAUAUAUGUUUUUGAUUGCUCUGCGGCUAGGGGAAUAUUGUGAAUGCUUUUAUUGAGCUUCAUGAUUGGGUUGCUUCUAGCUCCUCUGGAUCCACAAGGGAUUGCAUUCUACUUGGAGCUUGUGAAGCACAUGAGAUUCUUCCACAAAGUGCUGAAUUUCCUGUAGAUGUGUUUACGUCUUGUCUCACAACACCUAUUAAGAUGGCUUUGAGAUGGAUCUUGCAGGCAAAGGACACCAAGUGAAUUAGAUAGAGAGGUUAAGAACUUGAGGGUGGCAUUUACUGACCUAUUUUUGAAGCAUAACACUUUCAAAGAAACUGCAAAGCCAUCGAGAUAUUGAUGCAAAGAAUGGAAGAAUGUAUUUCACUAAUUUUUGUAUACAUUUCUUGUUUUGUAUUUAGUGAUAAAGGAAUCUGAAUUGGGCAUAAAUUAUGUUGUAAUAUGAUUUCUUAAGCCUAGACUAGUAGACUAAAUAUUGUAAUUACAUUUGAGUAAUUAAUAAAAAUCUAUUUAUGUUA
Molecule: long non-coding RNA, 1827 nt
Organism: Humulus lupulus (European hop)
Lineage: Eukaryota; Viridiplantae; Streptophyta; Magnoliopsida; Rosales; Cannabaceae
Exons: 15
Source: RefSeq, a predicted model, not a curated record